Ictidomys tridecemlineatus (thirteen-lined ground squirrel) is the source of this 72-nucleotide non-coding RNA. The record is from Rfam. Lineage: Eukaryota; Metazoa; Chordata; Mammalia; Rodentia; Sciuridae.
UGGGUUGUGGCUUAGCAGUAGAGCGCAUGCCUAGCACGUGUGGGGCGCUGGGUUCAAUCCUCAGCACCACAU